RNAcentral lists this transfer RNA (33 nucleotides) under Pterocypsela elata. RNAcentral's name for it is "partial tRNA-Lys". Lineage: Eukaryota; Viridiplantae; Streptophyta; Magnoliopsida; Asterales; Asteraceae. The record is from RNAcentral.
CCGACUAGUUCCGGGUUCGAAUCCCGGGCAACC